RNAcentral lists this signal recognition particle RNA (338 nucleotides) under Otolemur garnettii (small-eared galago). RNAcentral describes it as "Metazoan signal recognition particle RNA". It matches the Rfam family "Metazoan signal recognition particle RNA". From Rfam's summary of the family: The signal recognition particle (SRP) is a universally conserved ribonucleoprotein. It is involved in the co-translational targeting of proteins to membranes. The eukaryotic SRP consists of a 300-nucleotide 7S RNA and six proteins: SRPs 72, 68, 54, 19, 14, and 9. Lineage: Eukaryota; Metazoa; Chordata; Mammalia; Primates; Galagidae. The record is from Rfam by way of RNAcentral.
GCCAGGCGCUGUGGCGGGCACCUGUAGUCCCAGCUACUUGGGAGGCUGAGGCAGGAGACUCGCUUGAGCACAGGAGUUGGAGGCUGCUGUGAGCGUGAAGCCAUGGCACUCUACCCAGGGGGAUAGCUUGAGGCUCCGUCUCAAAAAAAAAAAAAAAAAAAAGAAGUGGAAGUGCUGGGCCAUGUGGUGAUUCUAUGCUUAAUUUUUUGAGCCAUACUAUUUUCUUUUUUUUUUUUUUUUGAGACGGAGCCUCAAGCUAUCCCCCUGGGUAGCGUGCCAUGGCAUCACAGCUCACAGCAACCUCCAACUCCUGGGCUCAAGCGAGUCUCCUGCCUCAG